RNAcentral lists this ribosomal RNA (327 nucleotides) under Tetrastemma sp. IP Iturup. RNAcentral describes it as "partial large subunit ribosomal RNA". The stretch from base 35 to 327 matches the Rfam family "Bacterial large subunit ribosomal RNA", at positions 2048 to 2597 of the family's 2925-position model. The record is from RNAcentral. Lineage: Eukaryota; Metazoa; Nemertea; Enopla; Monostilifera; Tetrastemmatidae.
UUUACUUUAUUAGGAAGAAGAUGAUAAUUUGCUUUUUUAGUGAAGAAGCUAGAAUAUGGUUAUAAGACAAGAAGACCCUUUUGAGCUUUAUUGUUUUUAGGUAUAAUACCUUUAGACAUUUGGUUGGGGCGACCAAGGAAGGUUUAAUCUUCCUUUAUUUAUAUGAUCCAAAGUUUUUGAUUAUUAGAUUAAGUUACCAAAGGGAUAACAGCGUAAUUUUUUUUGAGAGUUCUUAUUAAAAAAAAAGAUUGCGACCUCGAUGUUGACUUAUAAUUUCCUUUUGGUGUAGAAGCUAGAAGGGUUGGUCUGUUCGACCUUUAAAAUUUU